AUUUUUCAGGUAGUAGAAGCCAAACUCUUAACAGAUGGGAAAAUGAAUGAAAGUUGAAGCCCAGACUGCUGUCUCACAAGCCCUCAUGCCUCCAGGGCCAGGUAUGGUGGCGCAUGCCUUUAAUCCCAGCUACUCGGGAGGCUAAGGUGGGAGGAUCACUUGAGACCAGGAGUUUGAGACCAGCCUGGGCAACAUAGUGAGACCCCAAUCUCUAAAAAAAAUUAAUUUAAAAAUAAAAAGUAGUACAUCCAGUAAGUGGGAAGAGGAGAGAUGCGAAACGCUAUUUUGUGUCUCUCCUAAGUGGAGAGGAGAGAAGCUAUUGGAGAGCUGGCUCCAAGUGAGCACCCACCAAAGAGAAGGGCCAACUGAUGGAGCAAACUGCUGAAGAAGAGGGGAAGUGCUGGAACCCCGAGCCCAAGUAGCAGAGUCUGCCAGGAAAGGCACACCUGCUCCUUCCUCUUCAACAACAGGAAGGACCAGCACGCUUAUAGAUGUCUGCACAGAGGAGAUCAGGAGACCUGAUGGCCUCGGCAUUUUCUGGGAAGUGAGGGGGAAAGUCUUUCUGUACAUAGCACCAAUACCUGGUACACAGCAAGUGCUGUUAUCAUUUACUGAAGGAAUGAAUCCUGGGGCUACAGCAUAACCCACAAGGAGCCUAGAAUCUGGUCCCUGCCCAAGUCACCACUCCAAGCUGUUGCCUUUCUCCCCUAUACCUUUCAUCAAUCUGUCCUCAUCUCAGAUGGAAACAUGAGCUACCAGCACACAAAACAUGAGCUACCAGCACAUAAACAUGAGCUACCAGCACACAAAAUAUGAGCUACCAGCACAUAAAUAUGAGCUAUCAACACAUAACAUGAGCUAUCAGCACACAAUCUGUCCUCACCUCAGAUGGAAACAUGAGCUACCAGCAUACAAAUGUGCUACUUGCACAAAGGCAAGUACAUGCCCACAUACCAAACACACACACACACACACACACACACACACACACACACCCUAUAUGCCCAUGAGAAGGAGGGAAAAAAGGAACUCUUAUGCCUAAGCCCCAGAGAAUGAAAUAUUGUGGUCUAUUAUCAGUGACACAGAGACACAGUACCUUGAUGAAGCAAAGAUGGAUGCAUUGAGGCCCCCAAAGCAGGACAGGGCAACAGCAAUGGGGAUGGUCCAGCUGAACAUGCCAAACGUCUGGUCAGCAAAUGUCUGGGGGCAGGGCACAGAAAAGGCACUUAAACGCACAGGGUUUCAUAAUCCUCCUGCAUCUAUGAUCUCGGAACAAAUGCAAUCACUGCUAAGCAGCCCACCCUCUGGCCUAGACUCAUGACCUCAUCCUGCAGAGCUGAGGAGGGUGCAGUAAGACAGACUGAGCUGUGCAGGGUGGCUCAGUAUCAGGAGAUGAUGAACAAAUGGGGAUCCCAAGAGACUCACCACAGCCACAGCAUCACUGCUAAGGACAUCUGAAAUGUUCAGCACUGUGUAAUAGGCCACAUUGGUCAGGAUGUAGAUGAGCGUCACAAUUGGCAUAGAAAUCCCAAUGGCCAAGGGCAAAUUUCUGUCAGGACAAGUGAGAAAGGACUACCUAGAACCAACCUCUCCUUGGGAACAAAGUUUAUCAAGUCUCCACUGGGAUUUUCCUAACAUUUAACAGUUCACUAGCCUCCAAGUCUUUGAGGGAGGCUCACCUUCCCCUUGACCCUGGGUUCUUUCUAUUGAGAAAGACCCAACUUUCUCUGUGAAGAUAGCUCAUGAUCAAUAUUUAAUCUUUGCCACAGUAGGACCAAUGGGUCCUACUGGGUUUCAUAAUCCUCCUGCAUCUGUGAUCUCAGAGGAACAGUGCAAGGAACAGUGUCCUGGGGACUGGAUGCCAGGCUGGGGACCCAGCUGGCCAGAAUAAGUUUUGGUUCUGCGGGCUGUAGUGUCAGCACCAGAGUCCGAGGUCCUAAUUCCUUUGCCCCAGCUGGGCCUGCUGCUCCCCACUGAAGGCCCUCUCCUCUAGGAAGGCCCUAUCCUCCAGUGCGAACGUGAGGACAGGGAGCCGAAGGCUUUCCUACCUUCACUCACUCCCAUUCUAGCCCUCAGCCCCUCCUAGCUGGAGAAGGGGGAGUAGGGAGAAGAGGGGAGGAGAGUCGGAGGGAGGAGGAGAAGGAUGAGGGCAGGCACGCCCACUAUCAGCAGGAGUUCCAGCCAAGCUGGGGAGUGAGAGUGUGAUCCCAUCUUUACCUUUCUGGGUUUUUGAUUUCUUCUGUUACAAAAUUAAGGGUGUCCCAACCUGAGUAAGAGAAGAGGGCAGAGUAGAGGGCAAGAGAGAGGUUUCCCAUGUCCCAGGAGGAACCCUCAAAGGCGUCCUGAAAGUGCUCAGAGUGUCCUGUGGGGGCAAAGGCAGGUGAGGGGUUCAGAGAGAAGGAACAGGCCAAAGGAGAAAGGAAGAGGAGAUGGGAGGUGUAAGAGAAAGAUACGAAAGGAGAAUAGGAAAGAGGAAGGGAAGAUGAAAAAAAGGAGGAAUGGGGAGGAACAAGAAAGAAAAAACAAGAAGGCAGGGGAAAGAAAAAAAAACAUAAUUUAACACCAAAAGAUCAACAACCACUAGCUCCCUACACUUUACCACCCCACCCACUUCCUCAGGAAAGCUCACAUUCCUUUAAUAAAACUAGACAAUAAAAAACCAAAGACAUUC
This 2671-nucleotide long non-coding RNA is filed under the name Homo sapiens (human). RNAcentral's name for it is "non-protein coding lnc-ESRP2-3:1". Lineage: Eukaryota; Metazoa; Chordata; Mammalia; Primates; Hominidae. The record is from RNAcentral.